Molecule: ribosomal RNA, 253 nt
Filed under: uncultured Bacteroidales bacterium
Lineage: Bacteria; Pseudomonadati; Bacteroidota; Bacteroidia; Bacteroidales
Description: partial 16S ribosomal RNA
Rfam family: Bacterial small subunit ribosomal RNA
Source: RNAcentral
UACGGAGGAUGCAAGCGUUAUCCGGAUUUAUUGGGUUUAAAGGGUGCGUAGGCUGUUCGGUAAGUCAGUGGUGAAAUGUUGCAGCUCAACUGCGAAGCUGCCAUUGAUACUGCCGAGCUGGAAUACGGUUGCCGUGGGAGGAAUGUGUAAUGUAGCGGUGAAAUGCAUAGAUAUUACACAGAACACCGAUUGCGAAGGCAUCUCACGAAGCCGCGAUUGACGCUGAGGCACGAAAGUGCGGGGAUCAAACAGG